Long non-coding RNA from Leptinotarsa decemlineata (Colorado potato beetle), 372 nucleotides. The record is from RefSeq and is a predicted model, not a curated record. Lineage: Eukaryota; Metazoa; Arthropoda; Insecta; Coleoptera; Chrysomelidae.
CUUGAGGGAUAUCAUUUGGGACGUGGUAGGAUUUUCGAUUUAUACUCCAUGCGCCAUAGCGUCAACUUAUAUCUUGAUGAUGAUAUGCGAUACACUUGUAAAGUCGAAUAUGAUUCGAAGUGGAACGUUGUCGUCUCAUAUCAUUGCGUUUUCUGCCGUGUUUGGUAUGGCCGCCAUAGAUUUCACCUACUCAUCCUGGCUAUUAGUGACAUUACAGAGACAUAUCGAAGCUUGGAGAGAGUGGCACGACAGCAAAUGUACUUUGAAGGUAGUUCUCCCAAAGAUAAAACUCAGGCCUCAUCGGCUGAAGAAAGGACAACCUUAACAAAUGCGAGACAUAAAAUUCAAAAUAAAAAUCUACGGAGUACAAUA